Molecule: transfer RNA, 76 nt
Filed under: Pseudomonas amygdali pv. eriobotryae
Lineage: Bacteria; Pseudomonadati; Pseudomonadota; Gammaproteobacteria; Pseudomonadales; Pseudomonadaceae
Description: tRNA-Lys
Rfam family: tRNA
About the family: Transfer RNA (tRNA) molecules are approximately 80 nucleotides in length.
Source: RNAcentral
GGGUCGUUAGCUCAGUUGGUAGAGCAGUUGGCUUUUAACCAAUUGGUCGUAGGUUCGAAUCCAACACGACCCACCA